This 515-nucleotide ribosomal RNA is filed under the name uncultured bacterium. RNAcentral's name for it is "partial 16S ribosomal RNA". It matches the Rfam family "Bacterial small subunit ribosomal RNA", at positions 28 to 523 of the family's 1533-position model. The record is from RNAcentral.
GAUGAACGCUGGCGGCGUGCCUAAUACAUGCAAGUCGAGCGAAUGGAUUAAGAGCUUGCUCUUAUGAAGUUAGCGGCGGACGGGUGAGUAACACGUGGGUAACCUGCCCAUAAGACUGGGAUAACUCCGGGAAACCGGGGCUAAUACCGGAUAACAUUUUGAACCGCAUGGUUCGAAAUGGAAAGGCGGCUUCGGCUGUCACUUAUGGCUGGACCCGCUUCGCAUUAGCUAGUGGGUGAGGUACCGGCUCACCAAGGCAACGAUGCGUAGCCGACCUGAGAGGGUGAUCGGCCACACUGGGACUGAGACACGGCCCAGACUCCUACGGGAGGCAGCAGUAGGGAAUCUUCCGCAAUGGACGAAAGUCUGACGGAGCAACGCCGCGUGAGUGAUGAAGGCUUUCGGGUCGUAAAACUCUGUUGUUAGGGAAGAACAAGUGCUAGUUGAAUAAGCUGGCACCUUGACGGUACCUAACCAGAAAGCCACGGCUAACUACGUGCCAGCCGCCGCAGUAA